GACGAACGCUGGCGGCGUGCUUAACACAUGCAAGUCGAACGGAAAGGCCCUGCUUUUGUGGGGUGCUCGAGUGGCGAACGGGUGAGUAACACGUGAGUAACCUGCCCUUGACUUUGGGAUAACUUCAGGAAACUGGGGCUAAUACCGGAUAGGAGCUCCUGCUGCAUGGUGGGGGUUGGAAAGUUUCGGCGGUUGGGGAUGGACUCGCGGCUUAUCAGCUUGUUGGUGGGGUAGUGGCUUACCAAGGCUUUGACGGGUAGCCGGCCUGAGAGGGUGACCGGCCACAUUGGGACUGAGAUACGGCCCAGACUCCUACGGGAGGCAGCAGUGGGGAAUAUUGCACAAUGGGCGGAAGCCAGAUGCAGCAACGCCGCGUGCGGGAUGACGGCCUUCGGGUUGUAAACCGCUUUCGCCUGUGACGAAGCGUGAGUGACGGUAAUGGGUAAAGAAGCACCGGCUAACUACGU
This 467-nucleotide ribosomal RNA is filed under the name uncultured bacterium. RNAcentral describes it as "partial 16S ribosomal RNA". It matches the Rfam family "Bacterial small subunit ribosomal RNA", at positions 28 to 506 of the family's 1533-position model. The record is from RNAcentral.